RNAcentral lists this transfer RNA (83 nucleotides) under Callorhinchus milii (elephant shark). RNAcentral describes it as "tRNA-Leu (CAG) (tRNA-Leu-CAG-6-1)". It matches the Rfam family "tRNA". From Rfam's summary of the family: Transfer RNA (tRNA) molecules are approximately 80 nucleotides in length. Their secondary structure includes four short double-helical elements and three loops (D, anti-codon, and T loops). Lineage: Eukaryota; Metazoa; Chordata; Chondrichthyes; Chimaeriformes; Callorhinchidae. The record is from Rfam by way of RNAcentral.
GUCAGGAUUGCCGAGCGGUCUAAGGCGCUGCGUUCAGGUCGCAGUCUCCAUUGGAGGCGUGGGUUCGAAUCCCACUUCUGACA